UGAGGAACAUGACCUUCGGCGGGGGAUAGCCGGCCCAACGGCCGGGUAAUACCGCGUACGACCACAUGGGGACAUCCCUGAGUGGUGAAAGCAGCAAUGCGCCGAUGGAGUGCCUCGCGGCCUAUCAGCUAGUUGGUGAGGUAACGGCUCACCAAGGCGACGACGGGUAGCUGGUCUGGAGAGGAUGGCCAGCCACAGUUGGGACUGGAGACACCGGCCCAGACCUUCGUAACCGGGGA
This 239-nucleotide ribosomal RNA is filed under the name uncultured bacterium. RNAcentral's name for it is "partial 16S ribosomal RNA". It matches the Rfam family "Bacterial small subunit ribosomal RNA", at positions 118 to 348 of the family's 1533-position model. The record is from RNAcentral.